RNAcentral lists this ribosomal RNA (488 nucleotides) under uncultured bacterium. RNAcentral's name for it is "partial 16S ribosomal RNA". The record is from RNAcentral.
GCCCUUAUUACCGCGGCUGGUGGCACGGAGUUAGCCGGUGCUUCUUCUGCGGGUAACGUCAAUCGACANGGUUAUUAACCUUAUCGCCUUCCUCCCCGCUGAAAGUACUUUACAACCCGAAGGCCUUCUUCAUACACGCGGCAUGGCUGCAUCAGGCUUGCGCCCAUUGUGCAAUAUUCCCCACUGCUGCCUCCCGUAGGAGUCUGGACCGUGUCUCAGUUCCAGUGUGGCUGGUCAUCCUCUCAGACCAGCUAGGGAUCGUCGCCUAGGUGAGCCGUUACCCCACCUACUAGCUAAUCCCAUCUGGGCACAUCUGAUGGCAAGAGGCCCGAAGGUCCCCCUCUUUGGUCUUGCGACGUUAUGCGGUAUUAGCUACCGUUUCCAGNAGUUAUCCCCCUCCAUCAGGCAGUUUCCCAGACAUUACUCACCCGUCCGCCACUCGUCACCCGAGAGCAAGCUNUNUGUGCUACCGUUCGACUUGCAUGUGU